UUAAAUUGAAGAGUUUGAUCAUGGCUCAGAUUGAACGCUGGCGGCAGGCCUAACACAUGCAAGUCGAACGGUAACAGGAAGCAGCUUGCUGCUUUGCUGACGAGUGGCGGACGGGUGAGUAAUGUCUGGGAAACUGCCUGAUGGAGGGGGAUAACUACUGGAAAC
Molecule: ribosomal RNA, 165 nt
Filed under: Escherichia coli
Lineage: Bacteria; Pseudomonadati; Pseudomonadota; Gammaproteobacteria; Enterobacterales; Enterobacteriaceae
Also listed under: 6 other names
Description: partial 16S ribosomal RNA
Rfam family: Bacterial small subunit ribosomal RNA
Source: RNAcentral